Molecule: long non-coding RNA, 1598 nt
Organism: Panthera uncia (snow leopard)
Lineage: Eukaryota; Metazoa; Chordata; Mammalia; Carnivora; Felidae
Exons: 3
Source: RefSeq, a predicted model, not a curated record
AUAUAUAGUCAAGUACUUAUUUAAUAAAAAUAAUUCAUAAAAAUCUUUAAAAAAUAGUCAUAUUCUCUCCUCACUUAGCUUUGGGAAUAGAUAAGAAAGAGAAUGGCUGACUUCUGGAUUUCCAGGUUUGUGAGAGCCUCUCGAGGUUGAGAAAAGACCAAGUGAUUGGAGCCUCACUGUAAAGAUAAAGGAAGAUUAUUCAACCCUCCAGUGGUACUUGCCAAGAGAUACAGAAGUCUGGAUCUGCAAUGAGGCUGCAAGGUCCCCUGACAUGGACCAGAAUACUGCAGAAAGCGCCAGUGUGCAGUGGAUCCUCUUCAUAAGGCCCUGCCAGAAAUAUCCCCAGGUUCAAGCAAUUCACAACCGCUCACCUUGCUGUGAAUGCUGUGCAAAGUUGUAGUUUGUGAACAUAUGGGAACCAGCCGUUAAUUCAGGCUUCUCAGAGAUUACAAAGCCUGCAGAGACUGUAAAAUCAGCACUGACUGCCAAAACUGGAGAGGAUUUAUCACUACCAGAUAAAACUGGCCAGCACAAUUCAAACACCUGGGCAAUUUUGCCUUAUCUUCCUAGGUAAGCUGGGUUCUUUUAUGUUCAUUAUCUGUACUGUUUAUGGAAGAUCUAAAGUGUAAAACAAGAAAAACCUGGUUUUAACAAUGAAUUCCAUUUAAUGUACAAAUAAUGUAAUAGUACAGUCCUUUUCGGACAGGACUAUGAUGGACAGCAGGGGAAGCCAUUAUCACUAAACUCUUUGUGUUUUUUUUUUUUCAAUAAAAUAAAAAAAAAGGGGGAUGGGAUGGGAUGGGAAAAGAAAAAAGACCUCUGAGUAGGGCUGACAUGCAAACUUCACGUAUCUUUUCUUUCUUCCUUGUCUCUUUUCCCGGCUUAGGAAGGAAGCUCUGAUAGAUUAGACUCCCUGUAGGUUGUAAAACUCAGAUGGAAACAGAGUCGACCCUGAUGGUAUCAAGCCCUCACAAUGUAGAUUUCAACAUAAUAAAGUAAUGAAUUUUAAAUGAUAGAAUCAGAAUUUCUUCGGGGAUGGAAGGGAAAUGAUAAAGAUCACAGCCUGCACCUCCACCUAUGCCUACAAGAACAAAAAAAAAUUUUUUUUCAACUUUAACUUUCACAACUGACAUCACUUUCUUUUAUUUAACCAUUGAUAUGGUUUCCUUUAUGAGCCUGGAGGCUCACUCAAGCUGGAAAUAUGGCAGAUAGCUACAAAGCACUUAUCAAAUUCUAGAAGACACAAUUCUACAAUGAAUGGAAAACACCUGCUCUGCCUGAAAUAGCUUCCAUGUUUCUAAUCGUGCAUUAAAAAAGUAACUACAAAAUCUCAGGGUCUACUGAUGAAUCUGUACAGAAUGUUACUGAGCAACUUGAUGUUUAACUUGAGGUUAUUUUUUUUUAAUGUUUAUUUACUUUUGAGAGAGAGACAGACAGAGUGUAAGCAGGGGAAGGGCAGAAAGAGAGAGGGAGACACAGAAUCCGAAGCAGGCUCCCCACUCUGAGCUGUCAGCCCACAGCCCAACUCGGGCCUGGAACUCACUAGCCUUGAGAUCAUGACCUGAGGGUCGGAAGUUUCACGGAAUGAGCUACUGAGG